UAAGGGCGCACGGUGGAUGCCUUGGCACUAGAAGCCGAUGAAGGACGUUACUAACGACGAUAUGCUUUGGGGAGCUGUAAGUAAGCUUUGAUCCAGAGAUUUCCGAAUGGGGAAACCCAGCAUGAGUUAUGUCAUGUUAUCGAUAUGUGAAUACAUAGCAUAUCAGAAGGCACACCCGGAGAACUGAAACAUCUUAGUACCCGGAGGAAGAGAAAGAAAAUUCGAUUCCCUUAGUAGCGGCGAGCGAAACGGGAA
Molecule: ribosomal RNA, 255 nt
Filed under: Staphylococcus aureus
Lineage: Bacteria; Bacillati; Bacillota; Bacilli; Caryophanales; Staphylococcaceae
Description: partial 23S ribosomal RNA
Rfam family: Bacterial large subunit ribosomal RNA
Source: RNAcentral